This 833-nucleotide ribosomal RNA is filed under the name uncultured bacterium. Its description in RNAcentral is "bacterial SSU rRNA". It matches the Rfam family "Bacterial small subunit ribosomal RNA", at positions 541 to 1366 of the family's 1533-position model. The record is from RNAcentral.
UUGUUCGGAAUUACUGGGCGUAAAGCGCACGUAGGCGGACUGGAAAGUCAGAGGUGAAAUCCCAGGGCUCAACCUUGGAACUGCCUUUGAAACUAUCAGUCUGGAGUUCGAGAGAGGUGAGUGGAAUUCCGAGUGUAGAGGUGAAAUUCGUAGAUAUUCGGAGGAACACCAGGUGGCGUAAGGCGGCUCACUGGCUCGAUACUGACGCUGAGGUGCGAAAGCGUGGGGAGCAACACAGGAUUAGAUACCCUGGUAGUCCACGCCGUAAACGAUGUCCACUUGGAGGUUGUGCCCUUGAGGCGUGGCUUCCGGAGCUAACGCGUUAAGUCGACCGCCUGGGGAGUACGGCCGCAAGGUUAAAACUCAAAUGAAUUGACGGGGGCCCGCACAAGCGGUGGAGCAUGUGGUUUAAUUCGAUGCAACGCGAAGAACCUUACCUGGUCUUGACAUCCACGGAAGUUUUCAGAGAUGAAAAUGUGCCUUCGGGAACCGUGAGACAGGUGCUGCAUGGCUGUCGUCAGCUCGUGUUGUGAAAUGUUGGGUUAAGUCCCGCAACGAGCGCAACCCUUAUCCUUUGUUGCCAGCGGUCCGGCCGGGAACUCAAAGGAGACUGCCAGUGACUAAACUGGAGGAAGGUGGGGAUGACAAUCAAGUCACUCACCGCCCUUACGACCUAGGGCUACAUCACGUGCUACAAUGGCGCAUACAAAGAGAAGCGACCUCGCGAGAGCAAGCGGACCUCAUAAAGUGCGUCGUAGUCCGGAUUGGAGUCUGCAACUCGACUCCAUGAAGUCGGAAUCGCUAGUAAUCGUGGAUCAGAAUGCCACGGUGAA